GUGGGGAAUCUUCCACAAUGGACGAAAGUCUGAUGGAGCAACGCCGCGUGAGUGAAGAAGGGUUUCGGCUCGUAAAGCUCUGUUGUCGGGGACGAAUGUGCAGUAUUUGAAUAAAGUAGUGUAAUGACGGUACCUGACGAGGAAGCCACGGCUAACUACGUGCCAGCAGCCGCGGUAAUACGUAGGUGGCAAGCGUUGUCCGGCAUUAUUGGGCGUAAAGGGAGCGCAGGCGGGAAGGUAAGUCGGUCUUAAAAGUGCGGGGCUCAACCCCGUGAUGGGAUCGAAACUAUCUUUCUUGAGUGCAGGAGAGGAAAGUGGAAUUCCUAGUGUAGCGGUGAAAUGCGUAGAUAUUAGGAGGAACACCAGUGGCGAAGGCGACUUUCUGGACUGUAACUGACGCUGAGGCUCGAAAGCCAGGGGAGCGAACGGGAUUAGAAACCCGAGUAGUCC
Molecule: ribosomal RNA, 450 nt
Filed under: uncultured bacterium
Lineage: Bacteria
Description: partial 16S ribosomal RNA
Rfam family: Bacterial small subunit ribosomal RNA
Source: RNAcentral